This 182-nucleotide ribosomal RNA is filed under the name uncultured Staphylococcus sp. RNAcentral describes it as "partial 16S ribosomal RNA". It matches the Rfam family "Bacterial small subunit ribosomal RNA", at positions 158 to 334 of the family's 1533-position model. Lineage: Bacteria; Bacillati; Bacillota; Bacilli; Caryophanales; Staphylococcaceae. The record is from RNAcentral.
CGGGGCUAAUGCUGGAUAACAUUUAGAACCGCAUGGUUCUAAAGUGAAAGAUGGUUUUGCUAUCACUUAUAGAUGGACCCGCGCCGUAUUAGCUAGUUGGUAAGGUAACGGCUUACCAAGGCAACGAUACGUAGCCGACCUGAGAGGGUGAUCGGCCACACUGGAACUGAGACACGGCCCAG